This 1280-nucleotide ribosomal RNA is filed under the name Enterococcus devriesei. RNAcentral describes it as "bacterial SSU rRNA". It matches the Rfam family "Bacterial small subunit ribosomal RNA", at positions 83 to 1351 of the family's 1533-position model. The record is from RNAcentral. Lineage: Bacteria; Bacillati; Bacillota; Bacilli; Lactobacillales; Enterococcaceae.
CGAAAGAAAAGAGUGGCGAACGGGUGAGUAACACGUGGGUAACCUGCCCAUCAGAAGGGGAUAACACUUGGAAACAGGUGCUAAUACCGUAUAACAAGUAAAACCGCAUGGUUUUACUUUGAAAGGCGCUUUUGCGUCACUGAUGGAUGGACCCGCGGUGCAUUAGCUAGUUGGUGAGGUAACGGCUCACCAAGGCAACGAUGCAUAGCCGACCUGAGAGGGUGAUCGGCCACAUUGGGACUGAGACACGGCCCAAACUCCUACGGGAGGCAGCAGUAGGGAAUCUUCGGCAAUGGACGAAAGUCUGACCGAGCAACGCCGCGUGAGUGAAGAAGGUUUUCGGAUCGUAAAACUCUGUUGUUAGAGAAGAACAAGGAUGAGAGUAAAAAGUUCAUCCCUUGACGGUAUCUAACCAGAAAGCCACGGCUAACUACGUGCCAGCAGCCGCGGUAAUACGUAGGUGGCAAGCGUUGUCCGGAUUUAUUGGGCGUAAAGCGAGCGCAGGCGGUUUCUUAAGUCUGAUGUGAAAGCCCCCGGCUCAACCGGGGAGGGUCAUUGGAAACUGGGAAACUUGAGUGCAGAAGAGGAGAGUGGAAUUCCAUGUGUAGCGGUGAAAUGCGUAGAUAUAUGGAGGAACACCAGUGGCGAAGGCGGCUCUCUGGUCUGUAACUGACGCUGAGGCUCGAAAGCGUGGGGAGCAAACAGGAUUAGAUACCCUGGUAGUCCACGCCGUAAACGAUGAGUGCUAAGUGUUGGAGGGUUUCCGCCCUUCAGUGCUGCAGCUAACGCAUUAAGCACUCCGCCUGGGGAGUACGACCGCAAGGUUGAAACUCAAAGGAAUUGACGGGGGCCCGCACAAGCGGUGGAGCAUGUGGUUUAAUUCGAAGCAACGCGAAGAACCUUACCAGGUCUUGACAUCCUUUGACCACUCUAGAGAUAGAGCUUCCCCUUCGGGGGCAAAGUGACAGGUGGUGCAUGGUUGUCGUCAGCUCGUGUCGUGAGAUGUUGGGUUAAGUCCCGCAACGAGCGCAACCCUUAUUGUUAGUUGCCAUCAUUUAGUUGGGCACUCUAGCGAGACUGCCGGUGACAAACCGGAGGAAGGUGGGGAUGACGUCAAAUCAUCAUGCCCCUUAUGACCUGGGCUACACACGUGCUACAAUGGGAAGUACAACGAGUCGCGAAGUCGCGAGGCUAAGCUAAUCUCUUAAAGCUUCUCUCAGUUCGGAUUGUAGGCUGCAACUCGCCUACAUGAAGCCGGAAUCGCUAGUAAUCGCGGAUCA